This 1666-nucleotide long non-coding RNA is filed under the name Fragaria vesca (wild strawberry). RNAcentral describes it as "long non-coding RNA (FVES_LNC001357)". Lineage: Eukaryota; Viridiplantae; Streptophyta; Magnoliopsida; Rosales; Rosaceae. The record is from RNAcentral.
UCACCGGAAUUUCCCCGACCGCGGGACUCCGGUCACUGGAUUUUCCCCUGUAACCAGUUACUGACCUCCAAUAACCAGUUACUGACCAGUUAGUAACCCGUUACUGACACCUAGUAACCAGUUACUGACACCCAAUAAUCACUUAGUUUUCAGUUACUGACACCCAGUAAUCAUCCAGUAAUCACUUACUAACCCCUAGUAACCAGUUACUGACACCCAAUAAUCACUUGGUUUUCAGUUACUGACACCCAAUAAUCAUCUAAUAAUCACUUACUCACCCCCAAUAAUCGAGUUACUGACCCCAAUAACUUUUAGUUUUCAGUUACUGACACCCAAUAAUCACUUAGUUUUCAGUUAUUGACACCCAGUAAUCACCCAAUAAUCACUUACUGACCCUCAAUAAUCAGGUUACAAACCUCAAAUAAUAACUUACUGACCCCAAUAAUCACUUAUCAAUCCUCAAUAAUCACUGACUGACCUUAAUAUUUAACAAAAAAAAAAUCUCUAACUGACUUGAACUGGGCACCCAUAAUUUCUUCUCUGGGUACCCACCUUCCCCGAUGGUGAGCACACCAGCCUCCUCCACCGAACCCGGCGCACCUCACCUCACUCCACCGAACCCGACGCACCUCACCUCACGUCGGCAAGCAGUGCCCUUCCCCAGCCACGAUCCAGCCCGGAUUGAACUCCAGCCAAGUUGCAGCUCGCUAAUAUCUACACCAUCUCGUCGUCGCCGGCUUGGCGUAGAUCGGAGUCGCUCCGGGAUCGGAUAGGAGAUCUGGUGAGGUGGAGGAAGGACUAGACGCCGUCGCAAGCAUAGGAGAUCUGGUGUGGUGCGGUGGAGGCAAGGUGAUAAGGUCUGGGUUGAUGAGAGAGAGAGAGAGAGAGAGAGAGAGAGAGAGAGAGAGAGAGAGAGAGCGAGAGAGAUCGGAGGUUUAAGAGAGAGAAGAGGACAUACUUGUAAUUUUAUUAAAAAUCAUUGGAAUGAGUUAAGAGAAAAGAUUUACAUUAAAGUGGGUAUUAAAAUCCCUGUUUUUGUGCAUUUGGGCAUUUUCCCAAAAUAAUAUUAUAGAAGAAUAAGAAAUCAAGCUUUGAUGACGUGGAUAUGCCACAUCAGCUGCUACGUAAGAUGGGCUCUAGGUUGUUCCCCAAAUAAUGAUUCACCUAACAGUACUCUUGUUGUAAAAUAUUGUACUCAUUCAGUUCCCACUACUGUAAAUGUCUACCUUUUGCUCUGGUGUUUCCUCAAUUCCUUUGUAAGAAGACAAUAGUGCAGUUGUGUGAAUACGGUAGUGAAAGUUGGUUGGCACAAGUUAGUAUGACAUUUCUCCUAGCCUACUAUAUGACACCUAAAAUAAAAUAUUUCAUUGAAAGCAGUAAUUAUGGUACUGCCACAGUUUCGUGUCUACGUUCGCGUGCUGAAGUAGUGAAGUUAGCAUAAUAAAGACGAUUUGCACCAUUUCAAAUAUAAAAAAUCACAUGCGGGAGCGCGGUUAUUCUACAUGUGCAUAUGCGCGUGCAAGAAGGUCAGAAAUGUUGUAUAUUUUGAUAUAUCUGUGCAUGCAUGUUUUGGUACACUGUUUAAUGUUUGACAGUAAAAGAUAAGUAAUUUGUUAGAUCUAAAAACACACUCCUUUCAAACACAAUUUCACUACCAGGACAAGCA